RNAcentral lists this small RNA (541 nucleotides) under Histoplasma capsulatum var. duboisii H88. RNAcentral describes it as "Histoplasma capsulatum H88 hypothetical RNA". Lineage: Eukaryota; Fungi; Ascomycota; Eurotiomycetes; Onygenales; Ajellomycetaceae. The record is from RNAcentral.
AUUGAUCGAGGGUAUUUUCAUUGUCUGAUUCGAAGAAUUGGGCUCGUUCGGGGAAAGGUCGAUCGAUGUGCAAAUCUAGGUUCUGGUUCAGGAGGUCUGUUGUCUUCACAUUUGAGCUGGUUACUUGACUUUCAAGUAUCUUAGAUGGCUUCUGGUUGAUUGACUUCUCAUUCUUAUUGGUUUGCUUUCUGAUUGCAGAUUGUUGGGCAUGGAAAACUGGUGUUCACUGAAACUUUGUGCCUGGUGCCGUGGCAUUUGAAUUGAAAUGGAGGAACAUCAUGAUGCAGUCGGCUGACACAAAGCAGUGGUGGUUUUGGAAGCAUAGAGGGUUCAAGUUGUGUUGGAAGCCAGCUUUCCAGACCUUCAAGGUGGGAAGAAACACACUGAAAUACCUUUCCACCCUUUGGAACUGAAGUCUCACAGUCAACUUAUCCUAAAUAGAAAAUGCCCACAGCACAGAAAUGUUGAUAUGGAUGGUUAAAUUAAGAGCCAUUCAUUCAUUGAACUUCAUAUUAAAAUAGGCCCUUGUGCAUUGCCAGCA